Gopherus evgoodei (Goodes thornscrub tortoise) is the source of this 1246-nucleotide long non-coding RNA. RefSeq lists it as uncharacterized. NCBI's taxonomy places the organism in Eukaryota, Metazoa, Chordata, Testudines, Testudinidae. The record is from RefSeq and is a predicted model, not a curated record. The transcript has 2 exons.
AACACAGAAUGUAAAGAGGUAUCAGCUGCCAAACCUGCAGGAGGCAGGGGACGCAGGGGUUUCUCUGUACAGCCCUGCUCCAUCUAGUGUGAUUCUACUAUGCCAAGUGAUGGUGUAAAACCAGUAUCACGGGCUGCAUGCUUAUCGUCUCUGUUAUUCCAGACCAACAUGUUCAGCAAAUGUUCAAGUAAAGGUAUGAUUCUUCUAACUAUCAGCACUGCCAAUUCCCCCUGGCUAUGAUUACACAGCAAUUAAAUACCCACAGCUGGCCUGGGUCUUUUAUUCUGGUGUAGACAUACCCUGAGAGUCAAGCUGAAUUCUUUCUAGCUCAUACCCUUUCAUCAUUAAAGAUUCUGCAAGUCAAAUUCUGCCCUCAUUAAUUGUGGAAUCCCAGUGUCCUCAUGACAGGUUAGUGACAUGGUAAUGCCAGGUUAGUGACAUCUGUGCAACCCCAUUGCCUGUUGAAGAGUUGCACAAAUGGUAACUGAGGAUAAAGAUAAUGGGGUUGUACAAGUGAACAAUUGCAAUUGGAUGUUUGUUAACAAGUCUGCUAAGUAUGCGCAAGAUAGUAAUCUAAGCAAGGGUUUCACUAGAAAUAGUUGUGGUACUCCCACAGCUUCCACCCACAAACCAAGUUCCACCCAUUUGAAACACCAGAAUGAGUCCACUCACAGUUAAAUUUCCACAGUAUGAUCAUCCCUCUCUUUUCUUACAUGCAUUGAUCAAUAAUGAAAAAGCAAAGCACAUUGACACGUACGUAGUGAUCAUCACUAGAUUUCAGAAUUAACAGGUCACUGAAAUGAAUAGGAGCAACUCAUAUCUCUCUAACAGCGGCUGCUUUUAGAGUUCUACAGACUCAGUUCACAUUUUAAAGGAUAUCUGCAACUACAACUGGAUUUAUAAUUGAUUUUUCAGUUUACUGGCCAUUCUGAAAAAUCAACACUAACUUUUGUUUCAGGGUUGACCAGAAUUUAAUUUUUAAUUUUUUUUUAAUUAACCGAUGAAAAAAUAAUCUGCUUUGUAUUGAAUGAAGCAUUAAGUUCCACUCAGUUUUUAAAAAAAGUUUAAUAAAAUUGAAGUAAAUUUGAAAAUGAAAAGUCAUAUAAAAUUGAAAAAUCAAAACUUUGCAUUUAAAAAAUGUCAAAACAAAACGUUUCAAUUUUUUUUAAUUUCAACUGAAAGAACUUGGAGAAUUCAAAAUGAAUUCGUGAAAUAUUUUUGUCAACCCCAAGCUGCAUUUUUUGGG